RNAcentral lists this ribosomal RNA (441 nucleotides) under uncultured bacterium. Its description in RNAcentral is "partial 16S ribosomal RNA". It matches the Rfam family "Bacterial small subunit ribosomal RNA", at positions 338 to 795 of the family's 1533-position model. The record is from RNAcentral.
CCUACGGGAGGCAGCAGUGGGGAAUAUUGCACAAUGGGGGAAACCCUGAUGCAGCGACGCCGCGUGAGUGAAGAAGUAAUUCGUUAUUUAAAGCUCUAUCAGCAGGGAAGAAAAUGACGGUACCUGAGUAAGAAGCCCCGGCUAACUACGUGCCACCAGCCGCGGGAAUACGUAGGGGGCAAGCGUUAUACGGAUUUACUGGGUGUCAAAGGGAGCGUAGACGGCAGUGCAAGUCUGGAGUGAAAGGCGGGGGCUCAACCCCCGGACUGCUCUGGAAACUGUACGGCUGGAGUGCAGGAGAGGUAAGUGGAAUUCCUAGUGUAGCGGUGAAAUGCGUAGAUAUUAGGAGGAACACCAGUGGCGAAGGCGGCUUACUGGACUGUAACUGACGUUGAGGCUCGAAAGCGUGGGGAGCAAACAGGAUUAGAUACCCUAGUAGUC